UUUCAAAAAUUUCUUCCAUGA
This 21-nucleotide non-coding RNA is filed under the name Caenorhabditis elegans. Lineage: Eukaryota; Metazoa; Nematoda; Chromadorea; Rhabditida; Rhabditidae. The record is from RNAcentral.